Molecule: ribosomal RNA, 508 nt
Filed under: uncultured bacterium
Lineage: Bacteria
Description: SSU rRNA
Rfam family: Bacterial small subunit ribosomal RNA
Source: RNAcentral
AGGACGAACGCUGGCGGCGCGCUUAACACAUGCAAGUCGAGCGAGAACCAGGGCUUCGGCUCUGGGGACAGCGGCGAACGGGUGAGUAACACGUGGGUAAUCAACCCUCGACAUCGGGAUAGCCCGGGGAAACCCGGAUUAAUACCGAAUGCUCCGUCUGGCCUUCGGGCCGGCCGGAAAAGGUAGCUUCGGCCUCCGGUCGGGGACGAGCCCGCGGCGGAUUAGCUUGUUGGUGGGGUAAAGGCCCACCAAGGCGACGAUCCGUAGCUGGUCUGAGAGGACGAUCAGCCACACUGGGACUGAGACACGGCCCAGACUCCUACGGGAGGCAGCAGUGGGGAAUCUUGCGCAAUGGGCGAAAGCCUGACGCAGCGACGCCGCGUGAGGGAAGAAGGCCUUCGGGUUGUAAACCUCUUUCAGGAGGGACGAAGCCACUCGGGUUAAUAGCCCAGAGGGUGACGGUACCUCCAGAAGAAGCCCCGGCUAACUACGUGCCAGCAGCCGCGGU